AUGGCAGAGGACGAUAUCCACAAAACUGCUUUCUCCACACUUCAGGGGCACUUUGAAUUUCUAGUACUGUCUUUUGGCCUUUCAAAUGGCCCUCCAACAUUUCAAGCUCUCAUGAACUUGCUGUUUGGUCCUUUCAAAUUUGUGGUAGUGUUCUUUGACGACAUCCUAGUGUUCAGUCAGACCCUAGAACACAAAGUCCACUUGUCCAAAGUAUUUGCUACACUCCAAGAAAACCAACUGUAUGCCAAACUGGACAAGUGCUCCUUUGGUCAAUCUAAAGUAGAAUAUCUAGGCCAUGUUAUCAGCAAGGAUGGAGUAGCCACUGACCCUGCAAAGAUCACAGCAAUUCAAGAAUGA
Molecule: ribosomal RNA, 357 nt
Filed under: Triticum aestivum (bread wheat)
Lineage: Eukaryota; Viridiplantae; Streptophyta; Magnoliopsida; Poales; Poaceae
Description: partial small subunit ribosomal RNA
Source: RNAcentral